CCCGUUCAAUACUGGAUCGGAUGCCGAACGAGAACAAUACGAGCAUGCACGCACGCCUAGCUGCGUCUACUACUUGAGCGCCCUUACAGUUGGUUUUGGUACUAUCGACGCAAAAAGAAAUUGGUUCCAGAUUUCUAGAUCUCGAUGGUAGUAGUUCCACAUUUGAUAAGGUCUAUGGAAUGUCUUGCGUCAUCGAUCGGUUCAAUCAAAACGUUUCAAAAUGAUCAGUUUUACAAGGACAGAUGGAGCCUCAUUAUUCGAGCAGAAAAUCAAUGUGAAAAUGACAGUGGCACCUUUUUUUUAAACACGCGCCUAGCGGUCUCCAGAAGCCGAAUAAACUACGCAUCCAAGUUGAUAUAUUUCUGUUUCUUUUUUUUUUGCAGGUGAUAUAUUUCUGUUUCGAUCGAGAGAGAGGGGGAGAGAGAGAACAAGUUGAUUUUAAACUUUAGCAAUGUACUACUAGCAGAAUACCAGCCACUGGCAAAUGGAUCCAUGUCCGAAACGGGUGAAAAAAUGACCAUGCUCGUCAUCCAGAGAUCCAGCAGUAGUCCCGUUCGGUACCAGCAGAAGCUAGCAACUGAGCUGUACUAGAAGUGUAGAUCGAUAGGAAUCUUCGGACGUUCCAGAACCGGAUGGGCGCCCACGUGGCCACGUGCCGGUCACGUGCCCAUGUCCGCAAGACCGCAAGUGGCCUUUGGAUGGAGGCCAAUGGCAAUGCAGACGAGACGACCCCAAGACUGGAAGAGAGGCCAAUGCAGCGAACCCCAGAAAAACGAGGAAAGAUCAGAGGAAAGCCUGUAAAAAGCGACCGUGCCCGCCCGUGCCCCGGCGCCCGGCGCGGCGUUGCCGAGCCCGCUGGCCGACGGAACGGCGACGGCAUGGGUACCCAUUAUUCAUGGCUCGUGUCAUCAUGGCUGGAUGUGCGACGAUUCGGCACGGCUAUAGGCUGCUUUUAGCAAGACGUGACGGGCCAGGGCGAGUCAUAUAUAGCUAGUACCAGUUAGC
This 1005-nucleotide long non-coding RNA is filed under the name Brachypodium distachyon (stiff brome). RNAcentral's name for it is "long non-coding RNA (BDIS_LNC000106)". The record is from RNAcentral. Lineage: Eukaryota; Viridiplantae; Streptophyta; Magnoliopsida; Poales; Poaceae.